AACUCUGAUCGUUUCCUGAUCCAGCAGAAGCGGAUCAGCUGCUGGACGCUCCAGAGCCUCUGGUCCGUUAAAGGGUCCAGAUCAGAGUUGAAACUGUCUGUGCACCAAGUGUCAGCUGUGCUUUAUCACAGUCUGGACAGAAACCAGCAGACUGCUCUCUGAUCUUAUCAAGACGAGGGUGAGGAGGGAAUCUGACAUAUUAACUCAGUUAAGUUUUACUGGUUUUGUUUU
Long non-coding RNA from Poecilia latipinna (sailfin molly), 231 nucleotides. RefSeq lists it as uncharacterized. Lineage: Eukaryota; Metazoa; Chordata; Actinopteri; Cyprinodontiformes; Poeciliidae. The record is from RefSeq and is a predicted model, not a curated record. The transcript has 2 exons.